Molecule: ribosomal RNA, 496 nt
Filed under: uncultured bacterium
Lineage: Bacteria
Description: partial 16S ribosomal RNA
Rfam family: Bacterial small subunit ribosomal RNA
Source: RNAcentral
GAUGAACGCUGGCGGCGUGCCUAAUACAUGCAAGUCGAGCGAACAGAUGAGGAGCUUGCUCCUCUGACGUUAGCGGCGGACGGGUGAGUAACACGUGGAUAACCUACCUAUAAGACUGGGAUAACUUCGGGAAACCGGAGCUAAUACCGGAUAAUAUAUUGAACCGCAUGGUUCAAUAGUGAAAGACGGUUUUGCUGUCACUUAUAGAUGGAUCCGCGCCGCAUUAGCUAGUUGGUAAGGUAACGGCUUACCAAGGCAACGAUGCGUAGCCGACCUGAGAGGGGGAGCGGAAACAGGGGAACUGAGACACGAUCCAGAGACCGACGGGAGGAAGAAGGAGGAAUGCUUCCGGAAGGGGCGAAAGCCUGAAAGCGCAACGAGGCGGGAGUAAUGAAGGGCUACGGAUCGUAGAACGCUGUUAUGAGGGAAGAACAAAUGGGUACGUCUAUAUGCACGUCUGGAGGGGACUAAUAGAGAAAGCAGCGGCUAACUACGU